Molecule: ribosomal RNA, 790 nt
Filed under: Streptomyces sp. 14-13
Lineage: Bacteria; Bacillati; Actinomycetota; Actinomycetes; Kitasatosporales; Streptomycetaceae
Also listed under: 1 other name
Description: bacterial SSU rRNA
Rfam family: Bacterial small subunit ribosomal RNA
Source: RNAcentral
GCAAGUCGUACCAAUGGAUAUCCGUCGGAGGGGAUUAGUGGCGAACGGGUGAGUAACACGUGGGCAAUCUGCCCUGCACUCUGGGACAAGCCCUGGAAACGGGGUCUAAUACCGGAUACGACCAUCUCGGGCAUCCGAUGGUGGUGGAAAGCUCCGGCGGUGCAGGAUGAGCCCGCGGCCUAUCAGCUUGUUGGUGGGGUGAUGGCCUACCAAGGCGACGACGGGUAGCCGGCCUGAGAGGGCGACCGGCCACACUGGGACUGAGACACGGCCCAGACUCCUACGGGAGGCAGCAGUGGGGAAUAUUGCACAAUGGGCGGAAGCCUGAUGCAGCGACGCCGCGUGAGGGAUGACGGCCUUCGGGUUGUAAACCUCUUUCAGCAGGGAAGAAGCGCAAGUGACGGUACCUGCAGAAGAAGCACCGGCUAACUACGUGCCAGCAGCCGCGGUAAUACGUAGGGUGCGAGCGUUGUCCGGAAUUAUUGGGCGUAAAGAGCUCGUAGGCGGCUUGUCGCGUCGGAUGUGAAAGCCCGGGGCUUAACCCCGGGUCUGCAUUCGAUACGGGCAGGCUAGAGUUCGGUAGGGGAGAUCGGAAUUCCUGGUGUAGCGGUGAAAUGCGCAGAUAUCAGGAGGAACACCGGUGGCGAAGGCGGAUCUCUGGGCCGAUACUGACGCUGAGGAGCGAAAGCGUGGGGAGCGAACAGGAUUAGAUACCCUGGUAGUCCACGCCGUAAACGUUGGGAACUAGGUGUGGGCGACAUUCCACGUCGUCCGUGCCGCAGCUAACGCA